GAACGAGAAAGUGGAGCAAUCCAUGAGUAAAGUGGCGACCGGGUGAGUAACACGUGACUAACCUGCCCUUGAGUGGGGGAUACCUCGGGAAACCGGGGCUAAUACCGCAUAACAUCGUAAGAUCAAAGGAGCAAUCCGCUGAAGGAGGGGGUCGCGGCUGAUUAGUUAGUUGGUGAGGUAACGGCUCACCAAGACGGAGAUCAGUAGCCGGCCUGAGAGGGCGCACGGCCACACUGGAACUGAAACACGGUCCAGACUCCUACGGGAGGCAGCAGUGGGGAAUUUUGCGCAAUGGGGGAAACCCUGACGCAGCAACGCCGCGUGGAGGAUGAAGUCCCUUGGGAUGUAAACUCCUUUCGAUCGGGACGAUUAUGACGGUACCGGAAGAAGAAGCACCGGCUAACUCUGUGCCAGCAGCCGCGGUAAU
This 427-nucleotide ribosomal RNA is filed under the name uncultured bacterium. Its description in RNAcentral is "bacterial SSU rRNA". It matches the Rfam family "Bacterial small subunit ribosomal RNA", at positions 64 to 524 of the family's 1533-position model. The record is from RNAcentral.